RNAcentral lists this small RNA (566 nucleotides) under Pan troglodytes (chimpanzee). RNAcentral describes it as "processed transcript". The record is from RNAcentral. Lineage: Eukaryota; Metazoa; Chordata; Mammalia; Primates; Hominidae.
AACAGUCUUAUAAAGGAGAAAACUGAGGCCAGAUGAGAGUGGCUGAGUGGCUUUUACAGCUCUGAUUUAUAAUUAAUAAGCCCUGGACUUUGUCUCACAAGAUGAAAUGUUGACGCCCCUGGGGAGAUUGGACAAGUAUGCUGCAAGUGAGAACAUAUUUAACAGACAAAUGGUGGCCCGGAGUUUGCUCGAUACCUUGAGGGAAGUCUGCGAUGAUGAAAGAGAUUGUAUUGCUGUUUUGGAAAGAAUUAGCAGAUUGGCCGAUGAUUCAGAACCAACUGUGAGAGCGGAGCUGAUGGAACAGGUGCCUCACAUCGCACUGUUUUGUCAAGAAAACCGGCCUUCAAUACCAUAUGCUUUUUCAAAAUUCUUACUACCUAUUGUGGUUAGAUACCUUGCAGAUCAGAAUAAUCAGGUGAGGAAAACAAGUCAGGCAGCUUUGCUGGCUCUGUUGGAGCAGGAGCUCAUUGAACGAUUUGAUGUGGAGACCAAAGUGUGCCCUGUCCUCAUAGAGCUGACAGCCCCAGAUAGCAAUGAUGAUGUGAAAACAGAAGCUGUGGCUGUAA